UAGGGAAUCUUCGGCAAUGGACGGAAGUCUGACCGAGCAACGCCGCGUGAGUGAAGAAGGUUUUCGGAUCGUAAAGCUCUGUUGUUCGAGAAGAACGUUGGUAGGAGUGGAAAAUCUACCAAGUGACGGUAACUAACCAGAAAGGGACGGCUAACUACGUGCCAGCAGCCGCGGUAAUACGUAGGUCCCGAGCGUUGUCCGGAUUUAUUGGGCGUAAAGCGAGCGCAGGCGGUUCUUUAAGUCUGAAGUUAAAGGCAGUGGCUUAACCAUUGUACGCUUUGGAAACUGGAGGACGUGAGUGCAGAAGGGGGGAGUGGAAUUCCAUGUGGAGCGGUGAAAUGCGUAGAUAUAUGGAGGAACACCGGUGGCGAAAGCGGCUCUCUGGUCUGUAACUGACGCUGAGGCUCGAAAGCGUGGGGAGCAAACAGG
Molecule: ribosomal RNA, 429 nt
Filed under: Bacillota bacterium
Lineage: Bacteria; Bacillati; Bacillota
Description: Firmicutes bacterium partial 16S ribosomal RNA
Rfam family: Bacterial small subunit ribosomal RNA
Source: RNAcentral